ACGUAGGGUGCGAGCGUUAAUCGGAAUUACUGGGCGUAAAGGGUUCGUAGGUGGCUUGCUAAGUCAGACGUGAAAUCCCUCAGCUUAACUGGGGAACUGCGUCUGAUACUGGCGAGCUUGAGUGCAGGAGAGGAACGCGGAAUUCCAGGUGUAGCGGUGAAAUGCGUAGAUAUCUGGAGGAACACCGGUGGCGAAGGCGGCGUUCUGGACUGCAACUGACACUGAUGAACGAAAGCCAGGGGAGCAAACGGGA
RNAcentral lists this ribosomal RNA (253 nucleotides) under uncultured prokaryote. Its description in RNAcentral is "partial 16S ribosomal RNA". It matches the Rfam family "Bacterial small subunit ribosomal RNA", at positions 525 to 777 of the family's 1533-position model. The record is from RNAcentral.